GUCCUUGUAGUAUAAUAAUUACCCUGGUCUUGUAAACCAAAAAUGAAGCAUAACCCUUCCUAGGACA
This 67-nucleotide transfer RNA is filed under the name Ochotona sp. WJ-2016a. RNAcentral's name for it is "tRNA-Thr". Lineage: Eukaryota; Metazoa; Chordata; Mammalia; Lagomorpha; Ochotonidae. The record is from RNAcentral.